This 277-nucleotide long non-coding RNA is filed under the name Homo sapiens (human). RNAcentral's name for it is "HSALNT0289910". The record is from RNAcentral. Lineage: Eukaryota; Metazoa; Chordata; Mammalia; Primates; Hominidae.
CACCAGGCCCAUCUCCAACACUGGAGGUCACAUUUCAACAUGGGAUUUGUAGGGGACACACAUCCAAACUAUAUCAGUUGGUGCUCAUUAUUGUCACCCAUUUUACAGAUUGGGAAGGUGAGGAACAGAGGGGUGGAGAAACUUACCUAAGGUCACACAGAGUAAGUGGGAGAGCUGGGAUUUUGGCCACAGUAUUUUGGAUCCAGAGUUUGUGUAGAUGACCACUCUGCUGUACUACCAAGAAUUCAACCAAAGGCUGAGUACCGUGGAGAAGGCA